This 460-nucleotide ribosomal RNA is filed under the name uncultured bacterium. RNAcentral describes it as "partial 16S ribosomal RNA". It matches the Rfam family "Bacterial small subunit ribosomal RNA", at positions 338 to 795 of the family's 1533-position model. The record is from RNAcentral.
CCUACGGGGGGCAGCAGUGAGGAAUAUUGGUCAAUGGACGAGAGUCUGAACCAGCCAAGUAGCGUGAAGGAUGACUGCCCUCUGGGUUGUAAACUUCUUUUAUAUGGGAAUAAAAUGUUCCACGUGUGGGAUUUUGUAUGUACCAUAUGAAUAAGGAUCGGCUAACUCCGUGCCAGCAGCCGCGGUAAUACGGAGGAUCCGAGCGUUAUCCGGAUUUAUUGGGUGUAAAGGGAGCGUAGGUGGAUUGUUAAGUCAGUUGUGAAAGUUUGCGGCUCAACCGUAAAAUUGCAGUUGAAACUGGCAGGCUUGAGUACAGUAGAGGUGGGCGGAAUUCAUGGUGUAGCGGUGAAAUGCUUAGAUAUCACGAAGAACUCCGAUUGCGAAGGCAGCUCACUGGACUGCAACUGACACUGAGGCUCGAAAGUGUGGGUAUCAAACAGGAUUAGAUACCCUGGUAGUC